Molecule: RNA transcript, 5710 nt
Organism: Nasonia vitripennis (jewel wasp)
Lineage: Eukaryota; Metazoa; Arthropoda; Insecta; Hymenoptera; Pteromalidae
Gene: syd
Gene name: JNK-interacting protein 3
Exons: 19
Source: RefSeq, a predicted model, not a curated record
GGAGCAAGAGAGAGAGAAAGGGAGAGGGAGAGACUUUGCACUUUGCAGGCGAAGUACCUAUAUACGCGAACGCGAGUAAAAAAGAAAUCAAAGCGAGCAGUGUGUUACUGCUGACGACGGCUGUUUUCGACUUGGCGCAAUGAGAUUGCGCGACAGGAGAUAGGUGUGCUGAUAUUUCGUGUGCUCACUGCUCUCCGCUCCGAAUGAUCCAAGUGAGCCUGCUCGGACACCCAUGUUUAUCAAGAGCCAAAUAGUGAAAAAGCCAAGGCGCAGGACACUGAUAGACGGGUGGACAAUGCAGAAGCUGCUGCUGACGAUACAGCUGUAAUUCGUGUACAGGGCGUUCGCUCAUCGCUGCGAUGUUUACGAGGACGACGACGAGUAGGAGGUGGAGCCAUCGCCUUUUGUAAGGCGAUUGUCCCGAUAAAUAUUACGUGCAUAGGAGCUUCGGGCCUCUAAUUCUGGGCGGCACCUCGCGGGCCUUCGACGAUAGUAUAUUAUAAGUAGUCAGCAAGUGCUAUAUGUAUAUAUAUAAUUUUAUAUAUAUAUAUAUAUAUAUAUAGGUGUGUACAUAAUGCGUAAAUAAUGCAACCACACUGUAACAACUGACACGUCCAGCAGAAAAAAACGCUUCGUUCAAAUGUAUGCCUUGACUAGUUGCGAGCAGUCCUUUUAUGUAAAUUCAUCAGAGACAAGUUUCCUGUUGAGAAUGAAGAAACGCCUGAGCAAGACUACAGUGUGAGGAAUAAACGAAUCUCUUUCUUCUGUUCCUGCUCUAAACACGUUGAAAUAGAAUAAAUAAUCUUUCAAGUUUUAGUAGAAAUGGCGGAAAUCAAAAUGGAUCAAGAGACGGUAUAUGGCACACAUGAGGACAGUCAUGUUGUCAUGUCGGAAAAAGUACAAUCUUUGGCUGGUAGUAUUUAUCAGGAAUUUGAGAGGAUGAUUGCCAGAUAUGAUGAAGAUGUGGUUAAGGAACUUAUGCCAUUACUAGUCAAUGUGCUAGAGUGCCUAGAUAUUGCAUACACGCAAAAUCAAGAGCACGAAGUAGAGCUGGAGCUACUUAGGGAGGAUAAUGAGCAGCUUGUCACUCAAUAUGAAAGAGAGAAACAACUUCGAAAAACAUCGGAUCAAAAAUUGCUAGAACUAGAGGAUGCUGCAGAAGAUGAACGCAAAGAAUUAGUUUCAAAAAUUGAUAGCCUGGAAUCUAUUGUUAGGAUGUUGGAACUCAAAACCAAGAAUUCUCACGACCACGGUACAAAUGUCAAUGUCAACUCCAGUCAAAGAAAAACCCCUCACAUUGUUCGUUUGGAGGAAAAAGAAUCGGAGUUGAAACGUGAAUAUUCCCGGUUACAUGAUCGGUAUACGGAAUUAUUCAAAACUCAUGUUGAUUAUAUGGAAAGAACGAAGAUGCUCGUCGGUAGCACAGAAAGAUUAGAAAAUUCAACGGCUAAUAACCGAGGUCCCGGUCGUUUACCACCACUCGGAAUGGCACAUAUGUCACGAAGUUCAGGCCCUCUUAGUUACGGAUUCCAAAGUUUAGAAGCUAGCAUGAUUGAAGGAGAUAUUCAAGAGGAAAGUCCACCUGAUGCAGCAAGUUUGAGAACAGAAAUGUUAGACAGCAGCAGUGAAGCGACUGUAGAAACGUCCGAUAAGAGUCAGCUAACAGAUCAACCAGUUCAAGAAAACAAAACUACAGAUAUUUCCAGACAUGUGAGUCCAGAAACGGAAACAGCACCGCCUAUAAUUACACCGACAUCACCACGAGUAGAAAAAUUAGCUACAACUCCUGGAGGAAGAAGUCGAACGGAUAGAGAAGAACGCCGUAGUGCUAACACUUUAUAUCAAGAAAUCAGUUUUCAAGAUGCCGACGCUUUAGGAGAAAUGGAUGAGGGAGCUGAUAUUACAGGAAGCUGGGUUCAUCCAGGGGAAUACGCUUCGUCAGUUAACGACAACUUCUUUGGCAUGGGCAAGGAGGUUGAAAACUUGAUCAUGGAAAAUAAUGAACUUUUGGCAACAAAGAACGCCUUGAAUAUCGUAAAGGAUGAUUUGAUUGUAAAAGUUGAUGAAUUGACUGGGGAACAAGAGGUACUUAGAGAAGAAAUACGCGGUCUGCACCAAGCAAGAGAUCGUCUUCGACAGCGAGUUUUAGCUUUGGAAGAGGAACUGAAGAAAGUAAAAGAAGAAGCUGAAACUGCAGCGAAAGCAACAAAGAGCGACGAUGAAGAGGAAGUCCCAUUAGCACAAAGAAAGAGGUUUACGAGAGCUGAGAUGGCGAGAGUACUAAUGGAGAGAAACCAAUAUAAAGAAAGAUUUAUGGAAUUACAAGAAGCCGUCCGAUGGACAGAAAUGAUACGUGCAAGCAAGACAGAUCCAUCUAGCAUAUCUGGUGGAAAGCAAACAUUUUGGAAAUUUUUUAGCAACCUCUUCACUGGUCCAGCGGACCGGGGACCUCUAGUACGCGGACCACACAUCCGAUACAGCGCUCCAGCCAAUCAAGUAGUUCCAGCUGCUCCUCUGGAUAUGAUGCGCAGGAGAACGCUUAAAAAUCGACAUGAUUUUCUUGACCAAGGAGACACCAUGUCAUCUGAGAAACUUGUGGCAAGGCGUGCAAAUGAAAGAAGAGAACAGUAUCGUCAGGUUAGAGCCCACGUCCGGAAAGAAGACGGACGGUUGCAAGCUUAUGGAUGGAGUUUGCCUGGUAAACCAAGUGCUCCGACCCGCCAACCAGUACCAGUACCUGUAUAUUGCAGACCUCUACAAGAAACCGAGCCCGGAAUGAAAAUUUGGUGCGGAGCUGGAGUCAACAUGAGUGGUGGAAAAACUCGCGACGGAGGUUCUAUGGUAGGAGGUAGUGUCUUUUAUGCAGCAGAGGCUCGAGAAAUAAACAACGACCUUAAGGCUGAGCCUGAAGAUGCCAUCGAACACUUAGAUAAGGAACUGCAAGAAAGUGAACAGAGAAGGCUCGAAGCCGAGAGGCAGGAGCAGCAAUUGACUUCGCACGUGUGGAUCUGCACGUCCACGCAGAAGAUGUCGAAAGUUACUGUGAUAGAUGCCAAUAAUCCAGCCGAGAUACUCGAAGUUUUUAACGUUUGUGAGAGCCAUUUACUGUGCAUCGCUAGUGUGCCUGGUGCUAAGGAGAGCGAUUACGGAGAUAUCAACGACUACGUACAGGUGGAUAAAGAAAUUGAUAAUCAAGCGGAGAUUGCCCUUUCGGACGAAAACCAAGCGGAAACUGGGGAACCAAAAAUUGUAGAAAUAACCAAAUCAGGUAAUACGUCUCCAGAAGAGAAAUCAGAGCAAACACGUGAGGUUGGUUCGGAUCCCAGUUUGGCGACAGAACCACCAAGCUUGGAAGUUGACGCUGAAACUGUCAAUCUAGGAAAAAUUCGCUUUGUGAAAACUCCUCCUGAAUCUAAUUCUCUGCCAGAAACUACAAAAGACGAUGACGAGAAAGCUGAUGAAGGCGACGCUCCAAUUGAAAAAAUGUCUUCUAUUCAACCGACCAUGUGGCUCGGAGCUCAAAAUGGAGCUGUGUUUGUUCACUCUGCUGUGGCCAAAUGGUCGGUGUGUUUACACACUGUUCAGCUACAAGAUGCUGCUCUUGCAAUUGUGCACAUUCAAGGCCGUGUAUUAGUCGCGUUAGCCGAUGGUACGGUUGCGAUUUUUAAAAGAGGAGUUGAUGGUCAGUGGGAUCUAUCCCAGUACCAUGUCAUCACAUUAGGAAGCCCACAACAUUCUAUUAGAUGUAUGAGUGUUGUACUAGGGAAAACUGUGUGGUGCGGUUACCGUAAUAAAAUUCACGUCAUUGAUCCUAUUUCGCUGUCACUCGAGAUUUUCCAUUGCAGUGCACCGUUGAUGCUCAUCCACGCCGAGAAUCACAAGUACGACAGCUGGCCUGGCUUGGCGAGGGCGUCUGGGUCAGCAUUCGGCUGGACUCGACAUUAAGACUGUAUCACGCUCAUACAUACCAACAUUUGCAAGAUGUUGAUAUAGAGCCUUACGUUAGUAAAAUGCUCGGCACUGGAAAAUUGGGCUUUUCCUUUGUACGAAUUACAGCACUGCUCAUAUCUUCUAACAGACUAUGGAUCGGUACCGGUAAUGGUGUCAUUAUCUCCGUUCCUCUAUCUGAAAGUGCAGGAGGUUCUAUGGCUGUGUCACGUGUUCAAACGGGAAGCGGUAAAGGCGAUGCUCCCGGAGUUGGUGUUCGAGUCUUCGCUUCCGACCAUGGCGUCACUCCAGGCAGUUUUGUUCCAUACUGCAGUAUGGCUCAUGCACAACUUAGUUUCCAUGGUCACAGAGAUGCAGUAAAAAUGUUUGUUGCCGUACCGGGUCACGGUGGUCAAAGUGCAGCUUCAGACAAUUCCCAACCAGCUAUGCUUGUUUUAUCUGGAGGAGAGGGAUACAUUGACUUCCGAGUUGCAGAUGAAGCUGAGGAUGAAAGUGACGUGGCUACACAUCUAAUUGUAUGGCAAUUAGUCAGGUGACGGUGAAGAUGCCGAGGAAGGAAUUGACAGAGCUACCGUACAGGCAGUGUCAAAUACAGAAGAACAAGGUGAACAGAGUCAUUUGAUAGUGUGGCAAGUGCAAUGUCCGAUGCCAGUGACAAAUGCCUAGUCUUGUUGAACGAACGAAUAGUUCCUUCAGGGGGUCAAUAGGAUACCUGGCCUAGCUUCGUCUAUUUAGCAACGACCCGUCGGCAUUGAAACAUUCAAGUUCGACUGAAAAGAACAGCACCACCAUUGGGUGACCAACCAAAUUGCCAAAUUUAAGAAGGCUUGUGCUUCAGGGGGAUUUUAAUACUACUAGCGUAUUUACAGUGACGAAAACGUUGUUGGCAAUUUGAUAACUCGACGAUUGUAGAAAAUUUAAUUAACUUGCAGUCUGUUAAAAAUUGCAAUUAUUAUUAUUAUUAUUAUUAUUCUUAUUAUUAUUAUUGUAUUUUUGCUGUACCCCCUUCACUUACGUCUGUUGAUGCGUAUUAAUUAAUCAAGUAUAUUUAAAAAAAAGUUUGCACGUUCAUGCGAUAAACUUUUCUGGAGGGUACAAAUUUUAGAAAUGAUUUUUGUGAAAUGUUAUAUUUCAUACUGACAUAUUAUAUUAAGUAAGUUUGUGCAUUGCUUAAAGCCACAUAUACUGCGCGAACGAACUUUGGCAGUAAUUUAUUUAUAUCUUACCAAUAUUAUGUGUACAUGUGUAAGGCUCCUUAUCAAUGAAAUAUACAAUACGCGCAUCAAGCUAAGAUUAGAUUAAGUCAUUGAAAAAAUGUAUGUCGGAUAUAUUUUUUUUUUAUUUAUUAACAAAAUCAAUAAUUAUUUCUAUCAACAAAUAACUUUGGUAUUGAAUCAGCAAACAAAUUUGUAGGAAAAUAUUACUUGGAUUUUGUAAAUAAUACAAUGUUGAUACGAGAAAAAGAUAUUUGUUGUGUUAUGCAGUCUUUAUUAAGAAACAAUGAAGGGAGCAUGCUUGCUUCCUUUUUUUCUUUCAAAAAAGACUGUUUUGAAUCUCCUACCAAAGAUGCAGGUCUAAUAUAAAAAUAUUCAUGUGGCGAAAUAGGAUUGUAUAAUAAACAUGCAAACAUUUUGGCUGCUAUUCAAACCGAUGUGUGCACAUCAAAUUAAUUUGAUUUCUAUGUGUCGAGCCAGAAAUUCUGUGUACUUGGCUCGAACAAAUGGUGACCGUAAAAAAUAAAAAAAAAAUUACUGAAUCACUA